GACAGAGGGUGCAAACGUUGUUCGGAAUUACUGGCGUAAAGCGAGUGUAGGCGGUCUCGUAAGUCGGGUGUGAAAGCCCUGGGCUCAACCCAGGAAGUGCACUCGAAACUGCGAGGCUAGAGUACUGGAGAGGUUGGUGGAAUUCUCGGUGUAGAGGUGAAAUUCGUAGAUAUCGAGAGGAACACCGGUGGCGAAGGCGGCCAACUGGACAGAUACUGACGCUGAGACUCGAAAGCGUGGG
This 241-nucleotide ribosomal RNA is filed under the name uncultured bacterium. RNAcentral's name for it is "partial 16S ribosomal RNA". It matches the Rfam family "Bacterial small subunit ribosomal RNA", at positions 524 to 765 of the family's 1533-position model. The record is from RNAcentral.